GAGCCAUUAGCUCAGCUGGUAGAGCAUCUGCCUUUUAAUCAGAGGGUCAGAGGUUCGAAUCCUCUAUGGCUCA
Molecule: transfer RNA, 73 nt
Filed under: Staphylococcus aureus
Lineage: Bacteria; Bacillati; Bacillota; Bacilli; Caryophanales; Staphylococcaceae
Description: tRNA-Lys
Rfam family: tRNA
About the family: Transfer RNA (tRNA) molecules are approximately 80 nucleotides in length. Their secondary structure includes four short double-helical elements and three loops (D, anti-codon, and T loops).
Source: RNAcentral